UACGGGGGGGGCAAGCGUUGUUCGGAAUUACUGGGCGUAAAGGGCUCGUAGGCGGCCAACUAAGUCAGACGUGAAAUCCCUCGGCUUAACCGGGGAACUGCGUCUGAUACUGGAUGGCUUGAGUUUGGGAGAGGGAUGCGGAAUUCCAGGUGUAGCGGUGAAAUGCGCAGAUAUCUGGGGGAAGGCCGGCGGCGAAGGCGCCCUUCUGGGUGGUUCCUGACACUGAGGCGCGAAAGCGUGGGGAGCAAACAGG
This 253-nucleotide ribosomal RNA is filed under the name uncultured prokaryote. RNAcentral describes it as "partial 16S ribosomal RNA". It matches the Rfam family "Bacterial small subunit ribosomal RNA", at positions 524 to 776 of the family's 1533-position model. The record is from RNAcentral.